Molecule: ribosomal RNA, 480 nt
Filed under: uncultured organism
Description: bacterial SSU rRNA
Rfam family: Bacterial small subunit ribosomal RNA
Source: RNAcentral
GAUGAACGCUAGCGGCAGGCUUAACACAUGCAAGUCGAGGGGUAGAAGGAGCUUGCUCCUUUGAGACCGGCGCACGGGUGCGUAACGCGUAUGCAACCUACCUUGAACAGGGGAAUAGCCCAGAGAAAUUUGGAUUAAUGCCCCAUGGCAUCUUCGAGCGGCAUCGCUUGAUUAUUAAAGUAACAACGGUUCAAGAUGGGCAUGCGUCCCAUUAGUUAGUUGGUGAGGUAACGGCUCACCAAGACGAUGAUGGGUAGGGGUCCUGAGAGGGAGAUCCCCCACACUGGUACUGAGACACGGACCAGACUCCUACGGGAGGCAGCAGUGAGGAAUAUUGGUCAAUGGGCGCAAGCCUGAACCAGCCAUGCCGCGUGCAGGACGACGGCCCUAUGGGUUGUAAACUGCUUUUGUACGGGAAGAAACAACGCUUCGUGAAGCGUCUUGACGGUACCGUAAGAAUAAGGAUCGGCUAACUCCGUG